This 387-nucleotide ribosomal RNA is filed under the name uncultured bacterium. RNAcentral describes it as "bacterial SSU rRNA". It matches the Rfam family "Bacterial small subunit ribosomal RNA", at positions 28 to 416 of the family's 1533-position model. The record is from RNAcentral.
AUUGAACGCUGGCGGCAUGCUUUACACAUGCAAGUCGAGCGGCAGCGCGGGGGGCAACCCUGGCGGCGAGCGGCGAACGGGUGAGUAAUGCAUCGGAACGUACCCUGGAGUGGGGGAUAACGCCGCGAAAGCGGCGCUAAUACCGCAUAUGCUCUGAGGAGGAAAGUGGGGGACCGCAAGGCCUCACGCUCUGGGAGCGGCCGAUGUCCGAUUAGCUAGUUGGUGGGGUAAAGGCUUACCAAGGCGACGAUCGGUAGCUGGUCUGAGAGGAUGAUCAGCCACACUGGGACUGAGACACGGCCCAGACUCCUACGGGAGGCAGCAGUGGGGAAUUUUGGACAAUGGGCGCAAGCCUGAUCCAGCCAUGCCGCGUGAGUGAAGAAGGCC